CCUACGGGAGGCAGCAGUGGGGAAUAUUGGGCAAUGGAGGCAACUCUGACCCAGCAACGCCGCGUGAAUGAUGAAGGUCUUCGGAUUGUAAAGUUCUUUUCUAAGGGAAGUAGAAAGUGACGGUACCUUAGGAAUAAGCCUCGGCUAACUACGUGCCAGCAGCCGCGGUAAUACGUAGGAGGCAAGCGUUAUCCGGAAUGACUGGGCGUAAAGGGUGCGAAGGUGGUUUGACAAGUUAGUAGCGAAACUCCGGGGCUCAACUUCGGAACUACUACUAAAACUGGUGGACUUGAGUGCAGGAAGGGCAAUCGGAAUUCCUAGUGUAGCGGUGGAAUGCGUAGAUAUUAGGAGGAACACCAGUGGCGAAGGCGGAUUGCUAGACUGUAACUGACACUGAGGCACGAAAGCGUGGGGAGCAAACAGGAUUAGAUACCCCAGUAGUC
Molecule: ribosomal RNA, 443 nt
Filed under: uncultured bacterium
Lineage: Bacteria
Description: partial 16S ribosomal RNA
Rfam family: Bacterial small subunit ribosomal RNA
Source: RNAcentral